UUGUGUUAGGUUGUGUGGCAAUAUAUCUUUCAGGUAUUGUGAAAAGGCAGUUUUAUUAUCUUUUAGGGCAGGUUAUACGUGUCAAAUAAUUACAUCUCAAACAUCAAAUGAUGUGGCUUUAAAUUAUGAGCUCAACUUGAAAAAUGAUUUAUAACUGAUAGAAGUUUUAGAUUUAGAUGUCAAAGUUUUAGGAAUUGAGUUUUAAACUUUAAGGUUUGAACAACCAAGUUUCAGGUUGCACAUCAUGAAAAGAGCAGCUUUAGAUUAAAAUUUUAAGAUACGAGAAUUCAGAUCAUAUACGUCCAGUUCAACCGAUCCAUUUAAUAACCUAAUUUCAGAUUUGAGACACAAAGUUCAAAUAUCAUUGUUUGAAUUUGAAAAUUGAUGAGAGCACAAAAGUACAAUCGUCAGACCAUUUUAAUUAGUAUUUUAGCUAAUCAUUUAAAAUAAAAUUAACUAAUUAAUGUUUUAUUUGUGCAAGCAUCCCACAUUCCAUGUCCAGGUUCAACCGAGCCCAACUCAAUCUGACUUCUCUUAAUUCCCACGGCCAUCACCCUGAUGGAGUCGAGUCACUACCGGCUGCCAUCCCACCGUUGUCUCAGCCCAACUUUGAUUCCAGCUCCCAAUCGCGCGCAUCAGCGUAUCAUUGAUUCUGGUAUGGCACCAACUUGACCCAUGCAUGGCACGUUUCCCCCAUCUCAGCAAUCAGAGCACAAUCCCAGUGCCCGGAUCCGCGUCCCCACCUUCCGCAUACGUCCCCCUCUUCCCAAUCCGCAGUGCCCCAACUGUUCAUCGUCCGUGAUCCCACGCGCGUCUGCCCUCUUCACGUUCCCAGCGAUCUCCCAACGCCCAUCAAGCCGUGAUCUCCUUCCUUACGCGAUCAAGAUCCUAGCUCUUCCCGUGAUCCCAGCUUCCACCGUGGUCCAGCCUCCCACGCCCGUUUCUCUUCCCAGCAUGGCCCGAAGAAGCAAGCCGUGAUCGUUUCCUCCUAGCGCCCGGAUCCACGUCUCCUCCUCUUCCAAAGCUUCCGGAUUAGCACUCCAUCCCAGCUGCUCGUGAAGCCCCGUUGAUCGCGUCUGCCUUCUUCUUCCAUUUCGUCGACCCCGCGGCCAGCCUUCCGGAUUCGAAGCGUCAUUCACGUCCAGCCGUUCGUCCACCUCCCACUUCCAAUCCGGCACCCAAAGAAGGGAAGAGCAACGAUCCCGCAUCCGUGAAGGAAACCCCAGCAUCCCGGAUGACACGCAGCCCUUCCAUUUCCAGCACCCCAGUGAUUUUCGUGGCAUCCUUCCUCUUCCGCGUGCGAUCCCGGACGAUUCGCCUCCUUCCAGCAAAGAUCCCAACUCGAGGGGGUUAAUCUAUAAAAGGAGGGGCCAUCGGCAGAGGAGAAGAGGAGGAGCUCGGUGGAGGCCAAAGAAUAGAGGAGAGAGGAGCUCUCGGCUGGGUGUUGAGCCAAGAAACAGGGGAGGUGGUCGACUGGUUCAAGAGGGGAAGAGAAGGAGAGCUCGGUUUGGGAGAGAAGGAAGCUUUGUUUCAAAAGAAAAAAAACAGAGGAGAAGCUCUGUUUUUCGAGAAGAAGAAAUAAAAUCAUAUAUUUUAUUCUCUCUUUUAGUGUUCCACCGAGAAAAAAAAUACUUGUUCCUUUUAUUUCAUUUGUUUUUAUUUGAUGUUCUUGUAAUCAAUUUUCUUUUUAUGAAAUCCAUCAAUUUUCUUUUAUGCAAUCCGUGCUGUAGGUUUAGUUUAAUCUCUGCAAUUUAUUUUAUAUAUUCUGAAAUUCUUAGUUUUAAAAUAACUCUGAAAUUAAUCUUUGCUGUUCGACUGGCGAUUUUAAUUCAUAUUCUGUCUUCAGGAAUCGACCCCUACUCUGCAUCCAAUUUCAAUUGCAAAAUUUUCUUUCUUUCCUUUGUUCAUUUUCAAUUAGAAAGCAUUCAACAUACCCGACGUAAUGUUUUUCUUUUAUUAUUCAAAAAUUGAUUUUGAAUCCGAGUGAACGUUUUGAUUUUUAUGCAACUCCAAUCGCUUCCCUGUGGAUCGACCUCCUACAAUCGCUAUUCUUCGAGUAGGAAAGGUAAGAGUAAAAUUAAAUUAAACUUUGUUUGUCGGUUCUAACAACGAUUUGUUUAGCAUAGUUUUAGGUAAACAGGAAUCGGACAACAAAAAUCAUCAAGUUCCAACCAACAAAGUAUCAAGUUUUGGAUGCUGAACAACACGAAAUUUACGUUUCAGGUGUCGAACGAUGAAUCUAUGUCAAACAUUUGGUUCUAGGUUUAAGCUCCAAAUUUGAAACCAUGAUAGUUCAAAAGUUAGUGAGAUCUAAUGUAACAGGUCUUCAAGUUGCAAGUCUUGGAUUUCAAACUCUUUAAGAAUUUAAUUCUCAGAAUUUCAGAACAAUGAAAUUUAGAUUUUUCACAAACUUCAUUUUCCACAAAAUAAAAUUUAGAUUUCAGGUUUCAAACAGUGACACUUGAAAGUUCCAGACUUGAAAUGUUAUGAUCUUAUAUGAUAAACAAUGAAGUUUAAUUUCAAACAAAAGAUUCUUCAGCUUUCAAACAGGACAAUUUCAGCAGUCACAUCUUAUCAUCAUGGUAUAAAUGGAGAGUAGGCGAAGAGAUUGCUCUUGGAAAUGGGAUGAGAGAAUGCUAUGCCACCACCCAAAAACUUCCAUAUAUGGGAACAUACCAAUGGUAAAAGAAGAUCUAUUAUCAAAAGCCAACAUUGAUUUUGUUUCCUCUUCUCACCAAAGUAGCUUUUUCUAUGAAUACAGGCUGUUGAGUAGUUGAGUCAUUCAAGUUUUCAGAUCGAAAUUAUUAAAAUAACAAAAAGAGACUACCUUAGCUUAGAGGCCUCUUGCUCUUUAUCAUAAUAUACGUUACGCAGGCACAUUCUCUUGAUUACCAUAUAAAUAUAAGUUCAUCAGAAGCAUCCAUCAUAGUUGUUUAAAAAAGUUUCCUGUCGGUCCUCGACAUUAUUUUAAACCUGCCAUGAUCCUUCUGAUGGUAUACCAAAAGUGAUUUACUGUACCUCUAUUUUUCACAAUUGCCCUUUCUGUGUUCACUCUUGGGUGACCAAAUUACAAUUCAGUUUCACAGACUUGUCAAUGGCAAUGGCAUUGGAUGAGAUACUAUGCUCAAUAUAUAGACUUCUGGUUUUGUCUUCAACAAUGAAGCUGCUUUCAAAGUUUUAGAAUGUUUCAUCAGAUUAAAAUAAUGAGAGGAACAAGUGAAAUUUGAUAUAAGUGUUGCUACUGAAUCCUAAACCGAGGUUGGAGCGCGGCUUGGCUAAUCUUAGGGUCAGUAGGAACCGAGCCGGACGAAGUGGCCGAGGUGUGUUGGAGCUGGUUCCCUCUAGAUUGGCAUGUAAGAAGUCUGCUUGUCGAAGAGUUUCCGGUAGAAAACCCCCUGAUGCCUAAGUUAGAAUAGAGAGGCAAUAGUAUACAAUGAAGUGUUGUAAAAUUAUAGAUGGAGAGAAGGAAGAACUUAUCAGUUGAGGCGUGAUUUCACUGUCCUUAAGAAUAGAUCGCGCCCCUCGGAGAAUGGAUCUCGGUGUAGCAGGUAAUGGCGGCCUAUCCUCCAGGAUACAAAAUAGAGAGAGAGGAAGAUAAGAUUUUCACACCCGCGGGGGGGGGGUCCCCCCUGCGCGUGAUAAUCGCAACGCGCCCGGUUAAAGGUUUCCGGAUCGGAUUCGCCAAUUUUGGCUUGGACCUCCAUUGGGCUCAUGCACGCGUGGGCUACUUUCUUUCUUUGCUUCACCAAGUUAAAAGGUUGAAUACUAUAUAAAGAUCUUUUGAAUUUUGUUCCUUUCCAAUGUGGGACUAAAGAAAGUACACUAGACAAAAAGACAAAAGACAAAGAAGGGCAGACUCGGAAUUUUGAAAUAUUCCAACAUGAAGAAAGUUUAGCAGAGUAGUGUUCUGUAUGAGCAAUAUUGCGUUACGUCUUUCUUGUAUGUCCUACCUAAGGUCCCACAGACUGUCCCUUUAUAUAGGGGAGUCGAUUUUGUUGUUACUUGGAUCGGCGUGCACCAGUGGUCAGGUAGCGGCUGGUAGUACAGCCUCAGCAUGGACAGCAUAUGAUACUAACCACGCGUCGAAUGCAGAAUUGUUGCAACAGUCAGUCGCUGUCACGAUAACUGGUUGCCAUGACUGUCAGUCCCUAUCGACAUGUGUCGAUUGGUUCCUCGAUCGGAAGCGAAAUUGUUCACCUUAGCCGGCUGGCUCCUCGGUCGAAGGCAAAGUUUCACCUUAGUUGGCUGGCUCCACGGUUAGGGCUGAAGUUGCCUACCUUGAUCUAUACCGAGGUUGUCGAGAUCGGUCUGGUCCGAGAUUGAGGUAUCUAAUAUUUUUUUCAUCAAUAAGUACUAGAAGCAAAAUUAAUAUGACAAUUUUAGAUUAUAUCUAAGUGUGUUGGUAAGGGUAAAAACAAUGUGGUAUAGAAGGAAAUUGAGAUCACUGCAUAACACAAACACAAGAUACGCAUGGUUAUCCAAUAUAAUGACAACUAAAUAAUGCAAAAAGGGUUAUCCUUCCCAGAAAGUAGCACUUUCGUGUGGAACUUUAACAGAUGAGGUAGAGGAAAUGACACAAUGGGGCAAUGAACUUAUAGUUAUUUCAUAUCUACCAACCAAGGCUCUUGCAAUUCCACUAGCACUAGAUAUUUGAUGAGCCAUUAUAGUGUCAUUUAUUAUAUGCCAUGGACUUGACACAUCUUUUUCAUAGCAUUUGUUGAUUCUUAUUUAAACUUUUGUAUUUACAUAACUUGUAGAUGUCCUAAUUAAUUAGUCAAUGUUCAUCGUUUAAUUAUGUAAUCCUCAACGGUCCAUCUUUUGCACCGUGGAGGGCAGUGUAGGCUUGGAUAGCUGCCAUAUGGCCCAUCUUGAAAACAAAGGGCCCUCGCAAAAUCUCUCAAUCUCGCAUAUUUGGCAACUACCUCAUGCAUUUGGCAUCCCAAUGCAAUAUUCUACAUUUUCGAGAUGAGCAAGAGCUCUCCAUUUUCAAGAUGUGCCAUAUGGCAAUGAUUCGAGCAUGCACGGCUUUCUACAAUGCAAAAGAUGCAUGGUAUGAGACUUAUGAUACUUUAUGCGCUCCAAAAUCGUUGAAAACUGUAAUUAAGAUAUUAUAAAACGACAUCCAGUCUUCUGAAAUCUUCUUAGUUCCUUCUAUUUAAUAUAUAAAAAACAUGGGGAACUAAUGGUCUGCAUUUGUUUUCCAAGGGGUUUGAUGGAUGUUUCCAUUGGUAGUGUAGGUAUUGUGGAAAUAUCUUUAUAGUGCAGAUAGUACAAAUUGUGGAUAUUGAAAUUGGAACUUGUGGAUCAAUAGCUAAUAUUUUUUGCAACUAACAUAGUUUAUAAAGUACUAUUUAUUGGACUCAUCUAGAUAAACAUAUGCAUCAUACAUAUACAGGCAAACAAGCAUAUGCAUCAUGCAUAUCGCAACUUGUCAUGCCUCUCUCAAGAGUGAGGAUAGGUCGAGUCAGGUUAGAUACAGGCUGGGCCACUAGUCGAGCUAGGUACCUAUCAACCCACUUCGAACUUGUAUAUUAGACGAGUUAAAAAUCCAAAAUCGAAACCAUUCUCUUCAUUAAAUAGCUAACUUGAAUUGACCCUCAUAGCCCUCAAAUAAAUAGGUUGAAUCAAAUUAAAUCUAAACGGAUUAAAUGGGUCAUAAACAUGUUAAAUUGAUUAAACAUGUCUUGAAUAGGUUAGGCCAUAACUGUAUUGAUCCAGCCCAAUUAUUAAAUGGCUUGAAAUGGUUUAGAUAAGCUGGCGCUCUAAACUUGAACUUGGCACAUCUAAUAAAUAGGUUAAAUCUGAACUCGUUCAUCUCGAGUCGAUUCGAGUCAGGAGACAUGCUAAUUUGCAUCCUCAAUUUUCUUGCAUGCACUAAGCCUAAACAAAUCACAAUGGCACAUCAACUGCAUCUUCACACUACACAAACCAAAUGCCUCACAAGUGGCAUGCCCAAAUCUUUCCAUACAUAAAUAAAAUUCAAACAAACAACCAUUCCCAAGAUUGGAUAUUGCUAAAAAAAGAAACAAAAAAUUCUGAGUCUCGUUAACGGUCAAAUUUGUCCGUUGGUGACAGAAAUCUUCCAGAGUGAUCUAGAAUGCAAUUGCCACGUAUGACUCCCAUCCGAGACUUAGCGUGCUCCUCCGGAAACCAGAAGGAUGCUUCUUCUAGAACCGGUGACCAAACCUCGCCGCCAAUCCAUCAAAGAAGUCGUCAAACUUUUACCGACAAAAAAUAAGUCUUCAAACAUUUUUAUUCGGCCGUCCACGGCCAGAUAUGCAACAAUGAAAGCCAAGUCAAAAGAUAACACGCCAUUAUUUUUAUUCUUUUCUUUUGUGGCACGCAUUUUUUUUUUAAUUUUAAGCACAAUCUAAAAAACAAAUUAUUAUCUAUACUGCAUACACCCAGCCAGUUUACUGAGAUGCUUGCUAGAAAUAUUAUUAACUAUAUGCACAAUCACAUGAUGCAUGUAGUAUGAGAAUCCGUGCGGACGUAUAUUUUAGAAUUAUUCGUUGAAUGAAUUUUGAGUAUUUAUACAUAAAUAAAAAACCUAAAUAAUAUAUUUCGGCUAACUAUUUUGGAUAAGAUUCUAUGCUGCUAUAAAUAAUAUCAAAACAUAUUCGACACAUAUUCUAUAGAAUAUGGAUUAUAAGACAUUGUAAUACGUAUUCAUCAGAAUUGAUCAUGAAUUGAUUAUAGUGCUUGUGAUUAGAUUUAUAUAAAUUUAAAUUUUUAGCAUGACGAGCUUGUUAAAGCUCAAAUGGCGAGCCUAUGCCUGUGAUUGGUGGAACAGGGUGAAACACGGUGACGCGGGUGCAUAUAAUUUCUCUGACUGACGUUAGGAAGCAUCAAAGCAAGCUCCUAAAUUUUUUCUAGAAAACGUGUCCGGUCGGUGAUUCGUUAUAAAAAUCUACGGCCAGAUUCACGUGCCAAUGCUCUGCCUGCGGCCUUUAUAUUUUGACCUCUCCCCUUCCAAACGAUCCCGACAACCAAUCCCUAUCUCCAUCCAACGCCUCCUCUCGGUUCUGGUUUCUUAGAUAUCAAUCUCUCCCAGCCAAUCUCUGCAUCGAUCUGCUUAAUAUAUCUUCAUGGAGCGAAGCAGUUCGUUCGGGACGUCAUGGGCGGACCAGUGGGAUUACGGUGAUUCCGAGCCGGUGCAGGAGAAGAAGAAGAGCGGCGGCGUGAAGAGCGGGGUCGAGAAGACGAAAGCCGUGGCUUCUACAGGUCUCAAGAAGGUGAAAGAGGGCACCACUUCUGGGUUCCAAUGGAUCAAGGACAAGUACCAGAAGAGGACACAAAAGCACUGAAGCGUAUAUAGAUUUCUUUUGCAGCCUGUAUUCGUUUGCUUUUGAGUCGAAUGGCCUUCCUCUGUUUCCCCUGCUGCUCUGUUGUAUAACUUAGAAAGUAUUUCGUUUUAGAGGCGCUGAUUGGAUUUGUUGUAUAUUGAUACUUAUUGUCACUUUGUUUGUUGUUUGAAAAAGAUUAAUGAUCAGUAGGAGAAUAUAUGUAUUUUUAUUUUUUAUUUUGCGUGUUCUUUUCUAGUUUUUUUUUUCUUGGUUGGACUAUUGGUUGUUGGUUUAUGACAAUCCACUGGUUAUUCUAGAAUUCGAAUUUUAAGCACCAUCUUUGCUGAAACUUCGUGAUAUGUUAUACUCUUUUUAGGAAAAAAUGAUAAGGAAACUUAUUGAGCAGGUAGUACUUUUUUUUCCUUCAAAGAAAAUGAGACUAGUGAUUUUUAAUAUAUGUAUCCAAUAAACAACAAUCCCAUAGAAAAGCAAUAGGAAUUUCUACAGCUGGGGUUGUUAAAAUUCAUCCCCCAUCCUUCUUUCUUCUUCUGGGGUAGGUCCGUCCUCAAGAUACAACAAUCCGAC
This 7871-nucleotide long non-coding RNA is filed under the name Phoenix dactylifera (date palm). RNAcentral describes it as "long non-coding RNA (PDAC_LNC006218)". Lineage: Eukaryota; Viridiplantae; Streptophyta; Magnoliopsida; Arecales; Arecaceae. The record is from RNAcentral.